UCCGGCUUAUCACCGGCAGUUUCCUCAGAGUGCUCAGCCUAACCUGUUAGCAACAGAGGACGAGGGUUGCGCUCGUUGCGGGACUUAACCCAACAUCUCACGACACGAGCUGACGACAGCCAUGCAGCACCUGUGUUCUCUCCGGCCGAACCGAAGGACUCCUUUUCGGGAGUCCGCGAGAGACAUGUCAAAUCCUGGUAAGGUUCUUCGCGUUGCCUCGAAUUAAACCACAUGUUCCACCGCUUGUGCGGGUCCCCGUCAAUUUCUUUGAGUUUUAAUCUUGCGACCGUACUCCCCAGGCGGGAUGCUUAACGCGUUAGCUGCGCCACUGAGGGGUAACCCCCCAACGGCUAGCAUCCAUCGUUUACAGCGUGGACUAC
This 380-nucleotide unclassified non-coding RNA is filed under the name uncultured Rickettsiales bacterium. RNAcentral's name for it is "contains 16S-23S intergenic spacer region". Lineage: Bacteria; Pseudomonadati; Pseudomonadota; Alphaproteobacteria; Rickettsiales. The record is from RNAcentral.